Molecule: ribosomal RNA, 749 nt
Filed under: Fructilactobacillus sanfranciscensis
Lineage: Bacteria; Bacillati; Bacillota; Bacilli; Lactobacillales; Lactobacillaceae
Description: bacterial SSU rRNA
Rfam family: Bacterial small subunit ribosomal RNA
Source: RNAcentral
CGAACUGGUGAGUAACACGUGGGUAACCUGCCCAGAAGAAGGGGAUAACACCUGGAAACAGAUGCUAAUACCGUAUAACAACAAGAACCACAUGGUUCUUGUUUGAAAGCUGGCCUUUGUGCUAGUGCUUCUGGAUGGACCCGCGGCGUAUUAGCUAGUUGGUGAGAUAAUAGCUCACCAAGGCAAUGAUACGUAGCAGACCUGAGAGGGUAAUCUGCCACAAUGGGACUGAGACACGGCCCAUACUCCUACGGGAGGCAGCAGUAGGGAAUCUUCCACAAUGGACGAAAGUCUGAUGGAGCAACGCCGCGUGAGUGAAGAAGGGUUUCGGCUCGUAAAACUCUGUUGUUAGAGAAGAACAGCCGUGAGAGCAACUGCUCACGGUAUGACGGUAUCUAACCAGAAAGUCACGGCUAACUACGUGCCAGCAGCCGCGGUAAUACGUAGGUGGCAAACGUUGUCCGGAUUUAUUGGGCGUAAAGGGAGCGCAGGCGGUUUAUUAAGUCUGAUGUGAAAGCCUUCGGCUUAACCGGAGAAGUGCAUCGGAAACUGAUAAACUUGAGUGCAGAAAAGGAUAGUGGAACUUCAUGUGUAGCGGUGAAAUGCGUAGAUAUAUGAAGGAACACCAGUGGCGAAGGCGGCUAUCUGGUCUGUAACUGACGCUGAGGCUCGAAAGCAUGGGUAGCAAACAGGAUUAGAUACCCUGGUAGUCCAUGCCGUAAACGAUGAAUGCUAGGUGUUGGAAGGUU